RNAcentral lists this ribosomal RNA (253 nucleotides) under uncultured bacterium. Its description in RNAcentral is "partial 16S ribosomal RNA". It matches the Rfam family "Bacterial small subunit ribosomal RNA", at positions 524 to 776 of the family's 1533-position model. The record is from RNAcentral.
UACGUAGGGUGCAAGCGUUAAUCGGAAUUACUGGGCGUAAAGCGUGCGCAGGCGGUGAUGUAAGACAGUUGUGAAAUCCCCGGGCUUAACCUGGGAACUGCAUUUGUGACUGCAUAGCUAGAGUACGGCAGAGGGGGAUGGAAUUCCGCGUGUAGCAGUGAAAUGCGUAGAUAUGCGGAGGAACACCGAUGGCGAAGGCAAUCCCCUGGGCCUGUACUGACGCUCAUGCACGAAAGCGUGGGGAGCAAACAGG